Pistacia vera is the source of this 420-nucleotide long non-coding RNA. RefSeq lists it as uncharacterized. The record is from RefSeq and is a predicted model, not a curated record. The transcript has 4 exons. NCBI's taxonomy places the organism in Eukaryota, Viridiplantae, Streptophyta, Magnoliopsida, Sapindales, Anacardiaceae.
AAUCAGACCAUCAUCUCUCCCUCGCCUCCGCCGUUCGUCACCACUUCACACCGACCGCCUCCAGUCUAGCCGCUCCCUCCUCAGGACAAUUGGAACCUUAGGGGGCUCCCAGUCUCUAAUGCCGCUUCACAGCGUAGUCGGAGCCACUCGCGUCACUUCUCACAUCACCGUCGACGCCCGCGCUUGUUGCGAGUUGUCCCAGGGAACUUAAUAAACUGUUGAAUCAGCUUACAGUUGCUACAUUAUAUGGGUUUUGAAGUACAGCAGGUGGGACUGUGUUUUGAAGUAAAAGACAUAUAACCAGAAAUUCAGAGCUGGAUUUCUGUUGGUGGUUGAGAUAUGAAUCUUAUCUUUUCAAAUAAUUAGUGGUAAUUUUUCAGUUUGUUAUCAAAUUAUUUAGCUGUAAUUGGGCAUUUUUAU